Dreissena polymorpha is the source of this 1799-nucleotide long non-coding RNA. RefSeq lists it as uncharacterized. The transcript has 3 exons. The record is from RefSeq and is a predicted model, not a curated record. Lineage: Eukaryota; Metazoa; Mollusca; Bivalvia; Myida; Dreissenidae.
AUGACCACCGGGGAUGAACAACUUUUGUCACGUGACCGCAAAAGUCAACGCCGGUUGCAGAAACAGAUUGUAAUCUUGUACAUUAAGAAACAUGACGCUCGUGUGUGAAAUCUGUGGAAAGACAUUUAAAUCGAAGUGGGGGUUAAAGCUUCAUGAUAAGCGCCACAGAGGGACUGGACGAUUCGCCUGUUGUGGAAAAACAUUUUACACAAAACAGGCGUUCAACAGACACAGAUGCAGCAUUCAUGGUGUUGAAAAGCCGUUCCCCUGUGAACAAUGCGGCAAAAAGUUUUCAACCAAAGAUGACCUGAAUCGUCACGUCCGGAGGGAGGUUGCUGCAAAGCAAUUUACCUGCUCAAUUUGCAAUGCAACGCUCCGGGAGAAAAUUGACCUUCAGGCCCACCUUGCCACCCACACUGGAGAGAAAAACUUUGCUUGUGAUAUGUGUGAAAAGAGGUACAGGCACCGCAGUAGUCUAUCAAAGCACAGAUCUGCAAAGCACCGGGCCUAGUCAUCUGUUGCAUGACGAUGAUAAGACCAAGAAUUAUUUUUAAUUCUUACCAAUGUGCCGUGGUUAUUUUCUUAAUUAUUGAAAAUACAGACUGUCAUACAAUAAUAUAUAGUAUUACGCGUGUUUUUGCGUCUUAAACAUUGUGUUUCAUAUCGUUUAUCUUGUGUUGUUUUGUUUGAUAUUCCUGUUUUUAAUAAGAUUAUUGUUGUAAUAUUUAUCAUUCUAAUUUAAAAUGAUUAUGAUAAUGGUUGAUCUCAUACAAAUUAUUGUGUUCAUUAUUGCUCAUCUGUGAUUACUGUUGAUCUCAGCCCAUGAAUUGUGAUUUAUAUUGAUUAUCUGUGAUUAUUGUUGAUCUUAUCAAAAUAAUUGUAAUUUAUGUUGAUUAUCUGUGAAUUUUUUAUCUUAACCUAUUAAUAGUGAUUUAUAUUAUCUGUGAUUAUUGUUGAUCUUAUCAAAAUCAUUGUGAUUUAUGUUGAUUAUCUGUGAUUAUUGUUGAUCUCAACCGAUUAAUUGUGAUUUAUAUAACCAGUGAUUAUUGUUGAUCUUUUCAAAAUCAUUGUAAUUUAUGUUGAUUAUCUGUGAUUAUUGUUGAUCUUUUCGAAAUCAUUGUAAUUUAUGUUGAUUAUCUGUGAUUAUUGUUGAUCUUUUCAAAAUCAUUGUAAUUUAUGUUGAUUAUCUGUGAUUAUUGUUGAUCUUUUCGAAAUCAUUGUAAUUUAUGUUGAUUAUCUGUGAUUAUUGUUGAUCUUUUCAAAAUCAUUGUAAUUUAUGUUGAUUAUCUGUGAUUAUUGUUGAUCUCACCAUAUCCGCUGGAAUGUACAUUUGAGCCGCGCUCUGUGAAAAGGGGGUUUAAUGCAUGUGCGUAAAGUGCAGUCCACAUAGGCUAAUCAGGGACGGCACUUUCCGCUUUUAUGAUAUGUUUUGUUAAAAGAAAGUCUCUUCUGAGCAAAAAUCGAGUUUAUCGGAAAGGUUUGUCCCUAAUUAGCCUGUACGGAAUGCACAGGCUAAUAUGUGACGACACCUUACGCACAUGCAUUAAACCCCCUUUUCACAGAGCGAGACUCAUUUGUAAUCUGCGAUUUUUGUUUAUCUAUUUCGAAUCAAUAUGAUUAAAAUAUAUUUUUGGUGAGUUAGCUUUUUGUCUCAUUGGAAUCAUUGUGCGAAUUGUCAACAAUUACAUGUAAAUCUGUAAUUCCUUCUCAAGUUGCACAUAGGCCAGUUUAAUGUUUUGCGUAUAAGCUAUUAUUGCGAUACGGGAUAUUCUUUGCAGCAAUAAAACAAUUAAUCUGCA